RNAcentral lists this ribosomal RNA (261 nucleotides) under uncultured archaeon. Its description in RNAcentral is "partial 16S ribosomal RNA". It matches the Rfam family "Archaeal small subunit ribosomal RNA", at positions 748 to 1009 of the family's 1478-position model. The record is from RNAcentral.
CAGCCGUAAACUAUGCGCGUUAGGUGUAUCGGUGACCACGAGUUACCGAGGUGCCGAAGGGAAACCGUGAAACGUGCCGCCUGGGAAGUACGGUCGCAAGGCUGAAACUUAAAGGAAUUGGCGGGGGAGCACCACAACGGGUGGAGCUUGCGGUUUAAUUGGAUUCAACGCCGGAAAUCUUACCGGGACCGACAGCAACAUGAAGGCCAGGCUGAAGACUUUGCCGGAUUAGCUGAGAGGAGGUGCAUGGCGUAGUCGUGU